AAAAGAAACUAACAAGGAUUCCCUCAGUAGCGGCGAGCGAAGCGGGAAAAGCCCGGGAUGAAAAUCUCCUUGGAGAAUUGUAUUCCGAGUGUCCCCAGGGUGGUCAGUGCGGGAAAGUCGUCUGGGAUGACGCGCCACGGAGGGUGAGAGCCCCGUCCAACCCGCACAGGAUCCAUUCGCACAGGGACGCUUCAACCGAGUCGGGUAGUUUGGGAAUGCUGCUCUAACAUGGUGGUAAAUCUCAUCAAAGGCUAAAUAAAAGUGGGAGACCGAUAGCGAACAAGUACCGUGAGGGAAAGAUGGAAAGUACUUUGAAAAGAGAGUGAAAAGCACUUGAAACCGUCACGGGGGAAGCGAAUUGCGUUAGUGAUGUUUUUGCCUGUUCAGCUUUUUUUGCCGAAGAAUUCUUUUUUUUUUCGCAAUGAGUGUAUUCUGGCAAAAACGUGCUUGUGUGGCUGGCGGGAGUGUGAUGAGACGGUGAAUGGCUGUUCUAUUUUCAAUCUUUUCAAAAUUUUUUGGGAAGUUUGGUGGAAUGUUGUUUUACCGACCCUCGGCAACUCUUUUACGCUGGUGAGGGCUCCCUCAUAUUCGAGGUGAGGACAUGAGCAAAAUGAUGCAAUACGACCCGUCUUGAAACACGGACCAAGGAGUCUAGCACGGCUGCGAGUCGAAAGGUGAUUAAAACCUAUAGGGCGCAGUGAAAGCGAAGAAAAAAACAACAAAGCAAAUUGGGGAGGCGUUGCGGUUUUACCAAAAUGUCCUACCUUGAGCAUCUGUGCUGGGACCCGAAAGAUGGUGAACUAUGCCGGAGUAGGGCAAAGCCAGAGGAAACUCUGGUGGAGGCUCGUAGCGAUGCUGACGUGCAAAUCGCUCGUCGAACUUGGGUAUAGGGGCGAAAGACUAAUCGAACCAUCUAGUAGCUGGUUCCCUCCGAAGUUUCUCUCAGGAUAGCGGGCCGACAAAAAAUUCUUUUUGAAUGUUGUUUUGUGUGGUAGAGCGAAUGAUUAGUGCAUUUGGGGGCCGAAGGCCUUCGGGCGAUUCUCAAACUUCAAAUACGCAAGGGGGCCGCUGCUUCACCGUAUGGACAGGGCGAUUGGGGAAAGAAAUUUUUUUUCUUUCUUCCUUUUUUCCUUUCUUUGCGAGUAUGAGCGUGCUCUUCGAAAAACGUCGGCUCCGUGGGCCAUUUUUGGUAAGCAGAACUGGCGAUAAGGGAUGAACCUUAAGCGCGGUUAAGGCGCCGCAUUGCCCGCUUAUAGACCCCACAAAAGGUGUUGAUUCAUUUAGACAGCAGGACGGUGGCCAUGGAAGUCGGAAUCCGCUAAGGAGUGUGUAACAACUCACCUGCCGAAUGAAUUAGCCCUGAAAAUGGAUGGCGCUGAAGCGGGCAGCCGACACCGCGCCGUUCAGGCGAGAUUUUUUUUUAAAUUAACACAUGUCUGAAUGAGUAGGAGGGCGUGGCGGUCCGUGACGCAGGCGUGGGUGCAAACCCCGCUGAAACGGCCGCUAGUGCAGAUCUUGGUGGUAGUAGCAAAUAUUCAAGCGAGAUCCUUGAAGGGCGAAGCGGGGAAGGGUUCCAUGCUAACAUUGAUUGGGCGUGGGUGAGUC
RNAcentral lists this ribosomal RNA (1605 nucleotides) under Thorea gaudichaudii. RNAcentral's name for it is "partial large subunit ribosomal RNA". It matches the Rfam family "Eukaryotic large subunit ribosomal RNA", at positions 57 to 1540 of the family's 3401-position model. The record is from RNAcentral. Lineage: Eukaryota; Rhodophyta; Florideophyceae; Thoreales; Thoreaceae.